Saccostrea cuccullata (small rock oyster) is the source of this 241-nucleotide long non-coding RNA. RefSeq lists it as uncharacterized. Lineage: Eukaryota; Metazoa; Mollusca; Bivalvia; Ostreida; Ostreidae. The transcript is spliced from 2 exons. The record is from RefSeq and is a predicted model, not a curated record.
AUAUUGCGCCGUAAAUUGCAUGCAUCUUUUUUGCAUUACAGGAUCUGUAGCGUUAUGGUCAAAGACAAUCCAUAACGCUACAGAUCUGCAGCUACAUCUAUAUUCAGUGUCUAUGGUGGUGAUGAGCUCUGGUUCAUCAAGCAGUGGUUUGACUGGAGGACAGGAUACAGCUUCUGUUGUAAUGGAUAAUGCUGACAGAGAACCAAACAUUUGAUGGAGCUGUUCUGUAUUGAUCUGACGA